AUGUUGCAACAACAUUUGGUAUCAGAGCUUUGUGUCUUGGGCGUGCGUGCCGUGCCGGAGGCGUGGCAGCGAUGGCAGCGCUCGCCGGCGGCUGCGCGAUGGAGCUCCGGGCCGUGUGUCGGCCUCUGGAGGAGGGCGGUGCUGCAGCUGUCAUGGCGCGUGGCGGAGGCGGCGGGCGGUAACGUCGUACGUGCGGCGACCGUGGAGGCCGCCGAGGCACUGCAUGGUGGCUGCGGCGGCACGGUCAGGAGGCCGUGGAGGACCUGCGUGGUGGCGGCUUCAACGACGAUGACGACACAGGGAGCGUGUCGCGGCGGCUCGGCGCGACAACGGUGGAGGCGCGUGGCACAGAGCUGCGGCGCUCGUUUCGGAUGCGUCAGGCGCGUGUAUGGGCGCGCGCCGGGCGUGUCAGGCGCGGCGGGACCGUGGUGUAGGGUGGCCGUUGGCGAGCGGGGGUGUGCGCGUUGA
Molecule: ribosomal RNA, 468 nt
Filed under: Triticum aestivum (bread wheat)
Lineage: Eukaryota; Viridiplantae; Streptophyta; Magnoliopsida; Poales; Poaceae
Description: partial small subunit ribosomal RNA
Source: RNAcentral